GAAUGGUGAAGUCAGAAUUCAGCGGACUGACUAAGUUUCGAAAUUUUAACUUUUUGCAAUUCAGAUAUUAUGCAGAUAUUACAUGUUCAUGUUAAAUAACUAUAUUGUGUAAUUUACUGUACGUUUGUUGUAGUCGAAUGGUCAUAAAUACGUAUUGUCAUACUAAGGCUCGCGGGUUCAAUCAAACACGGGUUUUGAAUAAGAAUUAGGUACCCUUUUUUCUUCUUUUACCUAAAUAGGG
Cinara cedri is the source of this 241-nucleotide non-coding RNA. The record is from the annotation of a GenBank genome assembly. NCBI's taxonomy places the organism in Eukaryota, Metazoa, Arthropoda, Insecta, Hemiptera, Aphididae.